GGUACAUCGGUGACAGGUGGUGCAUGGUUGUCGUCAGCUCGUGUCGUGAGAUGUUGGGUUAAGUCCCGCAACGAGCGCAACCCCUAUUGUUAGUUGCCAUCAUUCAGUUGGGCACUCUAGCGAGACUGCCGGUAAUAAACCGGAGGAAGGUGGGGAUGACGUCAAAUCAUCCAUGCCCCUUAUGACCUGGGCUACACACGUGCUACAAUGGUUGGUACAACGAGUUGCGAGUCGGUGACGGCGAGCUAAUCUCUUAAAGCCAAUCUCAGUUCGGAUUGUAGGCUGCAACUCGCCUACAUGAAGUCGGAAUCGCUAGUAAUCGCGGAUCAGCACGCCGCGGUGAAUACGUUCCCGGGCCUU
RNAcentral lists this ribosomal RNA (360 nucleotides) under uncultured Streptococcus sp. Its description in RNAcentral is "bacterial SSU rRNA". It matches the Rfam family "Bacterial small subunit ribosomal RNA", at positions 1022 to 1382 of the family's 1533-position model. Lineage: Bacteria; Bacillati; Bacillota; Bacilli; Lactobacillales; Streptococcaceae. The record is from RNAcentral.